RNAcentral lists this ribosomal RNA (498 nucleotides) under uncultured bacterium. RNAcentral's name for it is "partial 16S ribosomal RNA". It matches the Rfam family "Bacterial small subunit ribosomal RNA", at positions 899 to 1397 of the family's 1533-position model. The record is from RNAcentral.
ACUCAAAGGAAUUGACGGGGGCCCGCACAAGCGGUGGAGCAUGUGGUUCAAUUCGACGCAACGCGAAGAACCUUACCUGGGCUCGAAGCGCAGUGGACUGAGGUAGAAAUACUUCUUUCUCGCAAGAGACUGCUGCGUAGGUGCUGCAUGGCUGUCGUCAGCUCGUGUCGUGAGAUGUUGGGUUAAGUCCCGCAACGAGCGCAACCCUUAUUGCCAGUUGCCAUCAUUAAGUUGGGCACUCUGGCGAAACUGCCCCGGAUAACGGGGAGGAAGGUGGGGAUGACGUCAAGUCCUCAUGGCCUUUAUGUCCAGGGCUACACACGUGCUACAAUGGUCGGUACAAACCGUCGCAAACCCGUGAGGGGGAGCUAAUCGGAAAAAGCCGACCUCAGUUCGGAUUGUAGUCUGCAACUCGACUACAUGAAGCUGGAAUCGCUAGUAAUCGCAGAUCAGAACGCUGCGGUGAAUACGUUCCCGGGCCUUGCACACACCGCCCGU